This 774-nucleotide ribosomal RNA is filed under the name uncultured Neocallimastigales. RNAcentral describes it as "partial large subunit ribosomal RNA". It matches the Rfam family "Eukaryotic large subunit ribosomal RNA", at positions 24 to 643 of the family's 3401-position model. Lineage: Eukaryota; Fungi; Neocallimastigomycota; Neocallimastigomycetes; Neocallimastigales. The record is from RNAcentral.
UAUGUGAUCGUCUCUCGCAUAUCAAUAAGCGGAGGAAAAGAAACUAACAAGGAUUCCCCUAGUAACGGCGAGUGAAGCGGGAAGAGCUCAAAUUUGAAAUCUUAAAGGGUUUCCCUUUACGAAUUGUAGUUUAAAGAAGUGUUUUCUGUUGAGGUUUUGGUAAAAGUUCUUUGGAAUAGGACAUCAUAGAGGGUGAGAAUCCCGUAUUUGACCUUUACUUUCAACUUUGUGAUACACUUUCAAAGAGUCGGAUUGUUUGGGAAUGCAGUCCAAAAUGGGUGGUAAAUUUCAUCUAAAGCUAAAUAUUGGCGAGAGACCGAUAGCGAACAAGUACCGUGAGGGAAAGAUGAAAGGAACUUUGAAAAGAGAGUUAAACAGUACGCGAAAUUGUCAAAAGGGAAGCGUUUGACACCAGUGUUGUUUUUCUGAAAAUCAAUUAAAGAACUGUUUAUGCUAAGUUGUUUAGACUUUAUCAGCUAACUGUUUAGUUUUGAGCUUUUCUUUAAUGCACUUUUCAGUUAACAAGUCAACAUCAAUUUCUUUUGCUGUAAAAAAGCUUGAGGAAGGUGGCUUGAGAUUCGUCUUAAGUGUUUAUAGCCUCUUGCCUAUGCAGUCGGAGAGAUUGAGGUCUGCAGCGUAGAUCCUUCGGGGCUAAAUGCAUUUGUGCUAAGUUAUAACAUUUUAUAGACAACUUGUUGACUAUGAUUUGUCUUGUAGCUUACUCGCUUAUGUUAUUUUACCUACGCUUAGGAUGUUGACACACGCGCGUGCUCG